This is a long non-coding RNA of Beta vulgaris subsp. vulgaris (sugar beet), 417 nucleotides long. RefSeq lists it as uncharacterized. The transcript is spliced from 3 exons. NCBI's taxonomy places the organism in Eukaryota, Viridiplantae, Streptophyta, Magnoliopsida, Caryophyllales, Amaranthaceae. The record is from RefSeq and is a predicted model, not a curated record.
UACUCUGGCUGAAACGGGUGAAAUCUUUGAUAGUACACAUGAAGGCAAUACUACUUUCUCAUUUGAGAUUGGGAAGGGCAUGAUGAUCAAGGCAUGGGAUGUUGCUGUCAAAACUAUGAGGGUUGGGGAAAUAGCUAAGAUUACUUGCAAGCCGGAGUAUGCAUAUGAAACUGUAGGUUCUCCCCCAGAUAUUCCUCCAAAAUUAUCUAAGAUGGCGAAGGUGCAACAAGAGAACAAAGGACACCAGUAAAUCGAGCUUCAAAUUAGCAUCAUACAUAUCUAACUAGAUGCUCGUUAGCUUUUAUAGGUUUUAGUUUUCUUGGCUUAGUGAGUAGAUACGGUAUACUUAUGAUUGAUGAUGUUUUUGACAAAUUGAAUUUAUUAGGAUUUUGGCUUGGUUAACAUUAUGUAUAUAAU